CUUAUCAAAGCUUUGACGCAGUUUUCUGGUGCAGCCACCUUCCAGAGCUUUUGGUGCACUUCUGAGGCUCCCCUCCACCUCUCCUGUUUCCAGCAACUUGCCUAUCUGCCCGAUUCUUGAACAACCUGACCCAAUGCAGGCAAAUGCAGAGGAUGUCCCAUAACUGUCCCACUUCCUGGGAACGCUUCUUUGUGGCCAGCCAGGGCUCAGUGCAGAGAGACAGAGAAGACCCAGGUGUCCCCUGGCCCAAUGCUUCCGGGAGGCGUCUCGGCCUUCCCACCUCUGAGAACAUUCAGGCCUUUGAGAUGUGGCCCCUGCCUGCCCCAGUCCCCCCGGCCUGACAAUGGGGACUUCAGAGGAGACUGGAUGGCAGGACACAGCCACUUCUGUGAAGCAGAGUCGACCGCCAAACUGGAGGUCUUUGUGGAUUUAUCGGGGAGAAGCAUGGCUGAGUAAAGGAAUUCUGGCACCAUGUGACAACCAUCUUCUUCAUCAAGAUUGGUGUCCUGGGAUGUGGCUAUGCCUGACCUUCCGGCAGAAUGAGGAGAAAAGUCUGAACCAGGCAGUUCAGCUUCCCCCAGUAGCACUCCUCUCAGGCCAUGGAGAAUAAUAAUAGCU
This 618-nucleotide long non-coding RNA is filed under the name Piliocolobus tephrosceles (Ugandan red Colobus). Its description in RNAcentral is "lncRNA (ENSPTEG00000033911.1)". The record is from RNAcentral. Lineage: Eukaryota; Metazoa; Chordata; Mammalia; Primates; Cercopithecidae.